RNAcentral lists this transfer RNA (72 nucleotides) under Astroblepus sp. NM-2010. Its description in RNAcentral is "tRNA-Ile". The record is from RNAcentral. Lineage: Eukaryota; Metazoa; Chordata; Actinopteri; Siluriformes; Astroblepidae.
GGAGCUGUGCCUGAACACCUAAGGACCACUUUGAUAGAGUGACACACGAAGGCUAAAAUCCUUCCAGCCCCU